UUAAGUGAAAAAGCUUAAAUGUGUUUGGGGGACGGUCAGACCCUUUGGAGCUUUAUCUCAUCAAAGUUUUAGGUUAUUUUUUUAUAACAAAAAUUUUGAUGAAAUUAUGUUGGGCGACAGAAAGUUAAAAAAUACCACUUUCUUUAAAAAAAACAUGAAUAUAUGGAAGAUUGAUCCCUAAGGAGGAAUUAAAAGACUAUAAGUUACCCUAGGGAUAACAGCUUAAUCUUUUUGGAGAGUUCUUAUCUAUAAAAAGGUUUGCAACCUCGAUGUUGGAUUAAGAAAUUAGCAAGGUGCAGAAGUUUUGUUGGAAAGUCUGUUCGACUUUUGAUUUCUUACAUGAUCUGAGUUCAGACCGGCGUAAGCCAGGUUGGUUUCUAUCCUCAAAUUU
This 391-nucleotide non-coding RNA is filed under the name Daphnia pulex (common water flea). RNAcentral describes it as "Bacterial large subunit ribosomal RNA". It matches the Rfam family "Bacterial large subunit ribosomal RNA", at positions 2049 to 2651 of the family's 2925-position model. Lineage: Eukaryota; Metazoa; Arthropoda; Branchiopoda; Diplostraca; Daphniidae. The record is from Rfam by way of RNAcentral.